CCUACGGGUGGCAGCAGUGAGGAAUAUUGGUCAAUGGACGAGAGUCUGAACCAGCCAAGUAGCGUGAAGGAUGACUGCCCUAUGGGUUGUAAACUUCUUUUAUAUGGGAAUAAAACGUUCCCCGUGUGGGAUUUUGUAUGUACCAUAUGAAUAAGGAUCGGCUGACUCCGUGCCAGCAGCCGCGGUAAUACGGAGGAUCCGAGCGUUAUCCGGAUUUAUUGGGUUUAAAGGGAGCGUAGGUGGAUUGUUAAGUCAGUUGUGAAAGUUUGCGGCUCAACCGUAAAAUUGCAGUUGAAACUGGCAGUCUUGAGUACAGUAGAGGUGGGCGGAAUUCGUGGUGUAGCGGUGAAAUGCUUAGAUAUCACGAAGAACUCCGAUUGCGAAGGCAGUUCACUGGACUGCAACUGACACUGAGGCUCGAAAGUGUGGGUAUCAAACAGGAUUAGAUACCCUGGUAGUC
This 460-nucleotide ribosomal RNA is filed under the name uncultured bacterium. Its description in RNAcentral is "partial 16S ribosomal RNA". It matches the Rfam family "Bacterial small subunit ribosomal RNA", at positions 338 to 795 of the family's 1533-position model. The record is from RNAcentral.